Molecule: transfer RNA, 75 nt
Filed under: Ktedonobacter robiniae
Lineage: Bacteria; Bacillati; Chloroflexota; Ktedonobacteria; Ktedonobacterales; Ktedonobacteraceae
Description: tRNA-Leu
Source: RNAcentral
CUGGCCCUGGCAGAGGGUUCCGCAGUCUCAGAGGCCGCGCAGGCCCUGACCGAGGGUCUUUUCCUCGGUGCCUAC